CCCAGGAGAUGAACAUAUGCCUGAGAAGAAGAACUAGUGUGGAACUGUCAGCCAGGUUUUUGAUGAGUGCUCAGACUGCUUUUUGAUCCGGCACCACAUUUACUAUAGUGGACAGAUGCUCUAGUCUCUGAUGAGGAGUUGCUAGCUGUUAGGAAAAACCUGGAAUGGGCUCCACUGCAUGAGGUUUGAAGUCUCCAGAGCAGCAAAGAGAGUGGGGAGUAGAACUCAUCAUCUUUAGGUCACUCAGCAUCGAUGGGUUGUUUGCAACCUUAGUAUACAGACAUGGAUGGUUGAACACAAACCUGUCAGGCUGAUAAAGAACUAGACAUCUACUAACGUCCUUGGAACCAUGUUCAGAUUGCUGCACAUCCUCCUGAAGAUGCCACAGAUGACAUGGUUCCUUGUGAUUGUUGUUCUCUUCUUGUUGUUGCUGUUUUCUUUUAACUUUUGAAGAGGAUACUUUAUUAGUCUGUUGCUAUGUUAGUCAUCUCCUGGCAUUAGAAACCAACAUCCCACUGUUUAAAUGUUUUACAUUUCCUACUCUUUUUGGAAAACACAACGUAUGCACAUCAUUUUUUCCUAUUGUUUCAAAGACAUACCACUAUGUAAUUCAACUUUACAAUUGUAAACAUUUUGACCAAUAUUCACAUGAAUAUAAAUUUUAUGUGUAAACUU
Molecule: long non-coding RNA, 675 nt
Filed under: Mus musculus (house mouse)
Lineage: Eukaryota; Metazoa; Chordata; Mammalia; Rodentia; Muridae
Description: predicted gene, 57870
Source: RNAcentral